Molecule: ribosomal RNA, 477 nt
Filed under: uncultured bacterium
Lineage: Bacteria
Description: partial 16S ribosomal RNA
Rfam family: Bacterial small subunit ribosomal RNA
Source: RNAcentral
GAUUAACGCUGGCGGCGUGCAUAACACAUGCAAGUCGAACGAUGAAACUUAGUAGACUUCUUCGGAAAGACACUAAGCGGAGUAGUGGCGAACGGGUGAGUAACGCGUGAGUAACCUGCCUUACACAAGGGGAUAGCCUUUGGAAACGAAGAAUAAUACCCUAUAAAACUAUAAAAGCACAUGCUAUAAUGGUCAAAGUGAUAGCGGUGUAAGAUGGACUUGCGUCUGAUUAGCUAGUUGGUGAGAUAAAAGCUCACCAAGGCAACGAUCAGUAGCCGGCUUGAGAGAGUGUACGGCCACAUUGGGACUGAGACACGGCCCAGACUCCUACGAGAGGCAGCAGUGGGGAAUUUUGCACAAUGGGGGAAACCCUGAUGCAGCGACGCCGCGUGAUUUUGAAGGCCUUCGGGUUGUAAAAAUCUUUUGUAUAGGAAGAAAAUGACAGUACUAUACGAAUAAGGUCCGGCUAAUUACGUG